RNAcentral lists this non-coding RNA (29 nucleotides) under Homo sapiens (human). The record is from RNAcentral. Lineage: Eukaryota; Metazoa; Chordata; Mammalia; Primates; Hominidae.
UGGCUAAUUUUGGGAAGGGCCUUUUAUGU